RNAcentral lists this long non-coding RNA (35722 nucleotides) under Coffea arabica (coffee). RNAcentral describes it as "long non-coding RNA (CARA_LNC006424)". The record is from RNAcentral. Lineage: Eukaryota; Viridiplantae; Streptophyta; Magnoliopsida; Gentianales; Rubiaceae.
UCAAUAUUUUUGGACAAGAGAAAUCAGAGACCAGAUAUAUGAUGAGAAGCAAAAUCUGGUGACCAUCACCGUCGUGUGCUGUAGCCCCGAGAAAAUCCGCGACAAAUUAUGUUGCAAGGGUGGCAAAGUCAUUAAGAGUAUUGAGAUCGUGGAGCCACCAAAGCCCAAGCCACCGCCGGAGAAGCCUAAAGAGCCCGAAAAGCCCAAGCCACCGCUCGAUGAGCCGGAUGACACCACACAGUCAGAGAGACCCACAGUUAGAGUAGUUGAAAAGUCGAAGACACCUGUUUGGUGGCUUGUUUGUUGUUGGGGAAUACUCUGAAGUAUUUUUGCAGGAGACUUUGAAGUCUGGUAUCAGAGCCAGAUUCUAAGGAGAAAACUAGUUACAAUGUCAUCCUUAACAGCAUCCUUAUCUUCUUCUGAUCUCAUUUUACAUAAAUCUAAUUCUAAUAAGUUAGAUUAUCUAUAUGAAAUAUCCAUUGAACAAGAAGCAGUAAAUCCAACCUCCUUACCCCUUAUUAAUCCUUAUUCUGCAUUUGGAAAACAAGCUUUCUCACUAUUAAGGGUCAUCAAAUACUUAAUCAAGCAUCAUCCAAAAGGAGUACGAGAAUAUAUCCAGGCCUCCAAGGUUGAUCAGCAUCAUAUCCUUGCUACAAAAAAAAAACAAUUUAUCCCUCUCUUUAUCCCACCAAACUUUCUUUCUCAAUGGAAGCAACAAGGAUUCACUCAUAUUUAUUUUGGUGCCAUACGUUUUUCCUUAUCUUUGCAUGAAAGAAAAGGUUUACGCAUGGUUGCUAGAAUAGCUCUAUUGGAUACAAGAUUCAAAAAAUAUCAACAUGCAUGUAUUGCGAUAGUCGAAACAACUCUAGACGCAGGAACAGUUUUUAUAACCUUGUUUCCAAAUUUUAAUACGUCUUCAACUUAUGUACCUUUUACUAACGAAAACUCAAAUACUAUAAACAAUCGAAAUUCGCUUCAACCCUGAGUCGUCGCUCAAGUCUCAAGUUCUCUCGUUUAACCCUUGAGCAAAAAUUUGGGCAGCAUGUCCUUUGUAUUUCGCUAUUUUUCAGGCAUUUAUGGUUUCAUUUUUUUUCUCAAUUCAGCCCAAAUUCAACACAUAAGCAAGCUUAACAAAAUAACUCUUCAACUAGGCCCAAUAUUAUCCAAAUACAAGUCAAUUCUAGCAAUGAAACCAUCAAUAUCAAAGCUGGAAACCAGUUUUAAAAAAGAAAUUAUAAGUGGCAGAUGUGUCAUCCUUCGGUAUUUUGAUCAUAACUGCAGUUAGAUAUAUUGGAUCAAGGUAAAUUUUAUGGCGUUUUGAAACUAAAAUAUAGACCUACAUUUUCUAUAAAGACAUUAACACCCAAUUCUCGCAUUUUCAGGGUCAAAACAAGACUGUCAGAAGUACAUGAAAACAAGUCAGGAAUAUUAGAGUUUUUUUUUUUGUGCAGUUAGGAAUGCUCUGGUUAAAUCCUAAGCUAACAUGAUCUGAUUGAUCUGAAAUUUUGUAGGUAGAAAGUUAACUCAAAACCCUAUAACUUUCAUGUUUUGUCCAAAAGCUAAUUCAAUCUAAAACAUGGAGAAAUUUGCAGCCCAGCCUGAUACCAAAAAUAAGGCUGAACUGAAAUUCCCUAUCACAUGCUGGAAUUUCAAAUUUUAACAUUACAAAGUCACACUCAAACCCAUAAUCACUUCAUAAGUUCCAUUUUCAAGUUCAAUAACAUCAUUUACUAGUUAAACAACACUAAUCAAAACUGAAGAAGGCAAACCCUAGUUGAAAAUUCUACUACACCAUCAAAAACUAGAAAAUCAACCAUAACAAGUCAAAAUUAAAAACUUCUAUAUCAAAAUUAGCAAGAUUAAGCAAGAGAAAAGGAAGUUUAGGCCUUAUACCUUCCAAUAACUUCUUGCAAGUGAGAAAAAAACCACUACCUUUUAAAAAUUUCACCACACCAAACCUUCCAAUCACCAAGAGGUAAGUUUAAUCGGUUUGAUUUUGUUGAUUUCACUCAAACAAGGGUUGAUUCAAGGUUGGAGUUGCAAACUUUCUUCUCUCUUUUCCCUCCUCUCACUCUCAGCCAACAAGAAAAAAAAUGAAGAACAAAAGAAGCCAAUUUGAAGAUAAGAAGGAAGGAAAUUUGCUUAGUCAAAGUUGGUUUGAUUUUCGCCAAGUGUCGCUUCAUGGAUUAAUCUCAAAAUAUUUUCUAUUCUCCCUUUUUAUUUAGUCCAAAAUUUCGACUGCCUUAAGGGAUAUUUUGGGGCUAAUUUUGCUAAAAUAAAAGUAAGGAGAUUAAAGUAAUAAAGUAGUGUUCAAGUGGUGUAUUCAAUUAGCAGCAAACGGUGCACAUCGAUUCAAACCUAUUUUCCUUAACUCUUGUGUACUUAUGUUUUAACUUAUGAUUCACUCACUUAUUAGUAGCACUUCUAAUCACACCUUUUCUUUUAUCUAAAACUCACUCUUAACCACCAAAUUUAGAACACACACCUCACCAAUUAAUCACACUACUAAAAUACACAAAAAUCAUAUUUUACCCUAACUAUAAAAUUAAGGGUAAAACUCUUAAUUCUAUUAUAUAUUACAACUAUUAAGAAAGUAAAUUUGUAGUAAAGAUAUUAUAAAAUAAUUUAUUCAAAAUAAAAGGAGAUUUUAAGAAAAUAUGCGGGAUUUUGCAAGUCCUCACAUAAACACUUUGGUGACGUGGUUACAUUUGACCCUACAUACCUGACAAAUAAAUAUAAGAUGCCUUUUGUUCCAUUAACUGGAGUUAAUCAUCAUUACCAGUCAAUUUUGUUUGGGGGUGCUCUGCUUUAGGAUGAAACCGAAGAAUCGUUUGUUUGGUUGUUGAAAACUUGGUUAGAAGCAAUGCUUGGGUGCCUUCUUAAAAGUGUCAAUGUUUGGGUGCCUUCUUAAAAGUGUCAUUACUGCGAUAACAAAUACUGUUAGAAACAACUAAUUGGAGGCCUUUCCCCUUUCGAAACAAAACAACUAAUUGGAGGCCUUUCCCCUUUCGAAAUUCUCCUUUUUUAAAAAAAUAUUAACUAAAGUUUCAAAAAAUUGAAUUUUGAGGUUUCAAGCUUAGGGAGGCAGGAAAAAUUGGUUGAGCCUCUGUACACAAGGUUGAGAAUAAUGCAAAUCCUACUAACUAAACUAGGGUGAAAGGGGGAGAAAUAGAUAAUGCAAUGAAUGGAACCUUGGAAUCCUUUCAAAGCUCGAGUAACUUUUCUUGCACAAGCCUCGCAACGCAUGUCAACCUUGAGAACAAUCUCCUGAACCUCUUCUUCCUUCUUUUCUUCUUUCGUGUCCCCUUCUUCUUCUUUUUUACUAGUGUCUUCUUUGUUUCCCAGUAUUUGUUUCUUUUCCUCCUCCUUGUUCGCUUCCUCUUUCUUCUCCUACAGCAUACCAUGCAUGAGAUCAAUGAGAAAAUGAUAGCAAAACUUAUAGUAGUUACUGGGAUUUCCUUCCAUUCAUUCGAGGGAGCAAUUAGAAUAAUCAUGUGCAAGGAUAUUUGGAAGUAGAAAACUAAAAACUUGCUUCGCCUAUAUCGUCUAAUUCUGACAAGCCCCUCUUCCAAGCUAAUACUACUAAUCAGUAUAGUAGGCAUACAGCAAGCUCGGGGCUUUGGGGUGAAGGAAAAUGGGAAGAGAGGAACAUGUAAUUUAAGUAGCGGGUGGUCGCGGUCUGGUGGUACUGCCUACACUGCCCGGUGCCCACUGCUGCGGCUGCUGCUCCAAAAUUCCAAAUUUCAUUAAAGCGAGUUACUUACGGUGCUGCCCUUCAGCUGACUCAGCACCUCAUAAUUUUGGCCCCCUUGUUAUGAUUCUAUCUCCGACUACGAGUACAUCAUCUGCAAAUGUAGCAGUCGCCUUUGACUGAUUAAAUAGUAGUCUGACACUACCGUAAUUUAGGAAAAAAUAUAUAUAGUAAAUAAAAUCUUGCAUGCGUGGAAGAGGAAAUACUAAGAAUUAUUACGGAGAUGGAUGGGAAAGGAUUCCAACUUUGUAAAAGCCCUUGGAGUUAUCCUGCAAGCAAAAGCCAAACGAAUGGUCGGCCUGGCAAGGGCUAUCAGGAUCUUUAAAAAAGAAAAGUUGGAAUCUAGCGGGACCCCCCCCAAUUUAUUACCAGUUUUCAGGAAACCAUUCACUGUAUAUAUGUGACGCUUCUGGCUUCCGCUCAUGUAUAUAACCAUUCACUGUAACUAUUGUGUGUGUAUAUAUAUAUAUAUAUAUAGGAGUAUGUUUUUAAUUUGAUGACAACUGUAACUAUUUUAACUGCAGCUGGAUAAAUAUACUGGACGGACCAUAGCUUCAACAUUGCACGUUAUGGGAAAGAUUGCAAGUUGCUGUUCAAAUGUUUUGACGACAUUUUCAAACUUAGCUAGGCGCAAAAUGUUAAAUAGAAAAACAGACGUACAGGUGCAGGAAAGAAACAAUUAAUGCAGCUCGUCAUUCCAAGAGAAAUCGAACACUGGUAUACGUCUAAAAGUGAGUAGUAAUAAAAAAAAAUAGAAAAGUUGGGGGAAGAAGGAUAAGUUUUGGCGAAUAGACAAAGAGUAACCGACGUCCCGAAGUGGGGCGAUUUUUUUUUGAAAGCUUUGCGUACACUAACAUAUCAUAUAUAGUGAUGACGACGGUAUACUUGUGUAGGAGGGAUGGAAAGGUUAUCCUGACCUGAAAUCACAGAGAAAGAAGCGGCCACCACAAUUUUUAAAGGACGAGGCUGUAACAUUUGACAAAGACGGCAGCCCACUGCAAAAGUGGUCCAAGUUCCAUGGAUCUCAAAUGGUUGAGGAAUUCUUCGAUACUAUCACCAACAACAUGUUGGUACAUGUAGUAGUUAAAUCAAGUCUUGGUUUCCUAGUCGGUAUUGGUUUCUUUAAGUCCAAGUCCAAUUGUAUUCCCUUUGUGAUUUGGAAGCUAAGUUUUAGGAGACAAAGUGGUCUAUAUAAACCACUACUGGUAGCCUUGUUACUGUGAUCCGAGAAUUGCAAACAAUCCAUGAAGUUUGCCUCCUGAAGAUUUUGUCAUCCUUCGUUUCUUUCUUUAGCUGUCCCGUUUGUUUAUAUAUAUAAAUAUUCCGCUGCCAAGCUAUUACUUUGUGUGUGUGAUUCGCUUGAAUUAUUCUAUCCUGUGGGUUAGUUUCCUACAAAGUGGUAUCAGAGCUUUGUCUGAGAUCCUGAUAAAUUAAAAUAUGGAUCCAAAUUAUUUGCACAAUUGUCACGUUUUUAUCUUCGAUGGUAAAAACGAUUUUGAGGUUUGGAGGUCGAUGAUGAAGAAUUUUUUUCAAAAUAUUGGAGUUUAGAAUAUUGUCGAAACAGGAUAUACGGAGUCGAUAGAAGGUAUAGAAUUAUCAAGCGAUGCAGUUAAAGAAUUAGAGAGAAAUAGACAGUUGGAUUGCAAGGUAAUGUACUUUCUCAACACUCAAGUCCAGUUGCAUGUUGCCAAAAAAUUUAUACAUGCAAAGUCGGCAAAAGAGGCUUGGACAAUUUUGGUGAACUCAAAUCGAGGUGCUGCUAACGUGAGAAAAAUCAGAUUGCAGGAACUUAGGAGACAAUUUGAGUUGGCCCAGAUGAAAUCUACGGAGUCAGUUAAAGAUUUUAUUAGCACAAUUAAAGAAAUUGUCAAUGAUAUGGAGUCCAAUGGUGAGAAUUUGGAAAAGGUUAGAGUUGUUGAAAAAGUUUUAAGAUCUCUAACUGCCAAAUUUCACACCAAGAAAACGGUCCUUGAAGCCACAAAGGACCUUGACAAUUUGUCACUUGCUGAAUUGGAAGGUGAAUUGCUGACGUAUGAGAUGUCCCUGAAUUAGCAGCCAUCAGAUACAGUAGAGGAGGUGUUACAAGCCAAGGUAGAUCACCCAAAAGAAAAAGAGGAGGUGAAUCGUAUGGACACAAAUCAAAGGGGCCAGAACUUCAGAGGUAGAGAACGUGGAGGCAGAGGUAACUCUCGUGGUCGUGGAAGAGGUAAUUAUUCUUACCAACCCAGAAACAAUUCUAAUAGGGAUCAGAAAAAUAGUCAACAACAAAGUCAAAAAAAUAAUUUUCAAAGGCGUGAUAGAUCUAAUGUCCAAUGUUAUAAUUGUGGUAAAAUUGGUCAUUAUCAGAAUGAAUGUUGGUCUAAUAGAGAGGUGUAUGCUAAAGUGGCUGAAAAUAGUAGUGAUAGAGAGGAGACUUUAUUGUUUUCUAGUUCUACAUCUGAAGAGUUUAUGAAGAAUGAUUGGUUUAUUGAUUCUGGUUGUAGUAAUCAUAUGUGUGGUAAAAAGGAGAUGUUUUCUGAUUUGGAUGAAUCUUUUCAUGCAUCUGUGAGAUUUGGAAACAAUGAAACAGUGCAUGUUCUUGGAAAAGAAAAAAUCAGAAUUAUCUUGCAAGAUGGGCCUUCGAAUUAUAUUUCUGAUGUUUUCUGUGUACCAAGUUUAUAUCAUAAUUUGUUGAGUUUGGGACAACUGUCUGAGAAAGGUUAUGACUUGCAUUUUAAAUAUGGCGAUGGCACCAUAAGUGAUGAGAAAUUGGGAUUAAUUGCUAAGGUAAAGAUGAACCGUAGUCGUUUAUGGCCCCUUUCUCUUAAUUGUGGCGAUUUACCUUGCUUUAAUUCCAUGACUUGUGAUGAUGCUUGGUUAUGGCAUAUGCGUUUUGGGCAUUUGAAUUUUGAGAGCUUGAAAUUUCUUGAAAGAAAGAAAUUAGUUAUUGGGUUGCCUUCUGUUGAGUUUCCUGACAAGAAGUGUGAGUCUUGUAUUUUGGGAAAGAAGCACAGGGAUCAUUUUCCAAAAGGCAAGACUUGGAGGGCAAAUCGACCACUUGAACUGAUUCAUUCAGAUUUAUGCUCAGUUGAAGUUCCUUCCAAUGGUGGUAGUAAGUAUUUUAUCACCUUCAUUGAUGAUUUCAGUAGGAAGACAUGGGUGUAUUUUUUAAGGAAUAAAUCUGAUGCAUGUGAUGUGUUUAAAAAGUUCAAAAAUUAUAUAGAGAAGCAGAGUGGCUACUCUAUUAAAAUUUUGAGAACUGACUGAGGCACUGAGUAUCUUGUUUGUGAUGACUAUUUAGUGGAAAGUGGUAUAAAACAUCAAUUGACAGCCAGAUAUACACCUAGCAAAAUGGUGUGGCAGAAAGGAAGAAUAGGACUGUGAUGGACAUGGUGAGAUCUAUGAUGCACUUUAAACGUAUUCCUAAAUCUUUUUGGGCAAAAGCAGUCUAUUGUGCUAUUUAUGUUUUGAACAGGUGUCCUACUAGAUGCAAUUUUGGGAAGACCCCACAAGAGGUUUGGACUGGCAUGAAACCGGAUAUCUCUCACUUCAAGGUAUUUGGUUGUCUUGCGUAUGCACAUGUUCCAGAUCAGUUGAGAAAGAAAUUGGAUGACAAAGCAGAGAAGUGUAUUUUUAUUGGAUAUAGUCAUGAGACAAAAGGGUAUAAAUUAUUCAAUCCAAACACAGGAAAUGUGAUUGUUAGCAGAGAUGUGAUUUUUGAUGAACAUGGAGCUUGGAAUUGGUCCAAACAAGAUCCCGAGACAUCGCCAAAGCACCCAUCCAUUUCUCCCAUUAUGGGACCAAGUGCUGAUAAGCAAGCAGUGGAGCAAGUUGUACAACCUCUUGGUGAUCCUUCAUCUUCCGCUAUUCAGGUUGAGACAUCCAGUCGACCACAGAGAGAACGACGCAUGCCAACCUGAUUUGAUGAUUAUGUUGUUGGCACAGAUGAUGAUUUAACUAAUGAAGCAAUUGUAAAUUUUGCUCUUUUUGCAGAUUGUGAUCCUGUCUCAUUUAAAGAAGCUGUCAAAGAUGAUCGUUGGGUUCGUGCAAUGGAUGAAGAAAUUCAUGCCAUUGAGAAAAAUAAUACAUGGGAGUUGACCACUAUCCCACCUGAAAAGAAGUCAAUUGGAGUGAAAUGGGUAUAUAAGACAAAGUAUAAGCCAACAGGAGAGGUGGAUCGCUUCAAAGCGAGAUUGGUUGUCAAAGGCUAUAAGCAGAAGGCAGGUAUUGAUUAUUUUGAAAUUUUUGCACCAGUUGCCAGACUUGAUAUGAUACGUAUGAUUGUAUCACCUGCUGCAAAUAAUUGCUGGAAAAUUCAUCAAAUGGAUGUAAAAUUUGUAUUUUUAAAUGGUUUUCUUCAAGAAGAGGUAUAUGUUGAGCAGCCUGCAGGUUAUGUUAGAAAGGGUCAAGAAGGCAAAGUAUAUAGAUUGAAAAAGGCAUUAUACGGGUUGAAACAAGCUCCUAGAGUUUGGUAUACUCGCAUCGAUACUUAUUUUAUUGAGCAUGAUUUUUUGAGAUGUCCAUAUGAGCAUACUCUGUACAUCAAAUUCAAUCCUGGAGGAGAUGUCCUUAUUGUAUGCUUGUAUGUGGAUGACUUGAUAUUUACAGGUCUCAGGUAUUUAACUUCUACGAGGCCUGACAUCACUUAUGGAGUUGGUUUGAUUAGUAGAUUCAUGGAAUCUCCACGCCAGUCUCACUUGCAAGCUGCUAAGAGAAUUUUGAGAUACAUUCAAGGUACACAAUCUGACGGUAUAUUUUAUUCAUCUUCACAUGAUAACAAUCUUGUUGGAUACACUGAUAGUGAUUGGGCUAGUGACACAAUACAAAGGAGAAGCACUUCUGGUUAUGCAUUUUACUUGGGAUCUGGUGUAUUUUCUUGGUCCUCAAAGAAACAACAGGUGGUUGCUUUGUCCACAGCAGAAGCGGAGUACAUGGCAGCUACAAGUAGUGCUACUCAAGCACUUUGGUUGCGGAGAAUGCUUGGAUUCUUGCAACACAAGCAAGAUGGUCCUACCACAAUAUUUUGUGAUAGCAUGUCUGCUAUUGAGUUGACAAAAAAUCCAGUUUUUCAUGGGCGCAGCACACAUAUUGACAUCAAGUAUCAUUUUAUUCGUGAGUUGGUUUAAGAGCAAGAAAUUGUCAUUGACUAUUGCAAAAGGGAAGAUCAAGUAGCUGAUAUUUUGACAAAGCCGCACAAAUUGGAGAUGUUCAUAAAAUUGAAGAAGAUGCUCGGCAUGGUGAAAUUUGAAGAUCUUGAUUUAAGGGAGGCUAUGUAGUAGUUAAAUCAAGUCUUGGUUUCCUAGUCGGUAUUGGUUUCUUUAAGUCCAAGUCCAAUUUUAUUCCCUUUGUGAUUUGGAAGCUAAGUUUUAGGAGACAAAGUGGUCUAUAUAAACCACUACUGGUAGCCUUGUUACUGUGAGCCGAGAAUUGCAAACAAUCCAUGAAGUUUGCCUCCUGAAGAUUUUGUCGCCCUUCGUUUCUUUCUUUAGCUGUCCCGUUUGUUUAUAUAUAUAAAUAUUCCGCUACCAAGUUAUUACUUUGUGUGUGUGAUUCGCUUGAAUUAUUCUAUCCUGUGGGUUAGUUUCCUACAGUACAUGACACAUUAUUAUUAUGAUUUCAAACCGUACCUAGAAGAUAUAUUUUUGGAUGAAGAAAGACAGACAAUUCAUAUUCAUGUCCAAAGGCAUUUUGCCUGGUGCCUGGCUCUGCAGCCAGUCUCAUGGGCCUCGCUGUGUAGUUUCAAGAGUGAGCCCAUCGAAUUGCUACGAACAGAACUGGGUUUCAAGAUGGGCCGCAUUUCCUUUCCAUUCCUUCUUCAAUUCCUCCAGCGCACGCCAUCCACUCAACUAGUCAAGUGACGAUUAUUCGUUAUUCAAUUCCUCCAGCGUACAUGAUCCACUCAACUGGUCGAGUCAAGUGACUUCGAAUUCGUUAUUCAAUUCCAGGGUACGAACAGGGAUACCUUUAUGGUAGGAAGCCUUUGACCAUUCCUAUCGUAGGCAGCUUCUCAGAGCAUGACACGUGUUGGAGUUGGAUGGAGUGCAAACGGAGAUGUUAAAUUGUUGGAGAACGCGUGAAGAGCAAAUCUCAAAUUUUGGUCUGUGGCCAGAAGCAAAAAAAGCACAAGUUUGGACUUCCGUUUUCCAAAUCAGUAGGUUGGGGUAGGGAAGGGUAAUUGCACGUCAGAACCACUGGCAUUUAUGCAUUUGCAGUUGUACCCGUUAGGAGCGGAAAAAUAUUGAAAAUGCCUUGGACAAAGAAAUAUGCGCAAAGAAGGUACUGAAGUUUUAACAAAUAAUAAAUGUAAAUGUCACACGUGUCAGGGAUAAUAACUUGAAAGAAGGAAAAGUGGAGCAGAGGUAAACGUAGUAGUUCAACGGCAACGUGAAACACAAAGAGAUUGAAGCCUUCAUUAUAUUUAUAUACACAUAUAAAUUUAGUACCCAAGUGUUUAGGUUAAGCAUCCGGUAAAAUGGUCCCAUAACUAUCGUUACGAUAAAUAAAAUAGUUUUAGACAUGAUGUAAUUGGUUAUAAAAAUUUUAGCGACCAUUUGAUUACCCGUUAGACCUAUCCACUUGAAUAGGAUUAUGGGCAAAAAUAAGGGAUUAAAUUUCUCAUCUAAAAUAGUAAGUUAACGUAAUAAAUUAGUAAGUUUUGCAAUCGAAAAGGUAAAUUGUAAUUAAUAUGAAACAUACUUUUUAAAGAGAUAAAUUACAAAAGUAUAUCCCAAAUAUACUUUUGAGGGUGUAAGUUUAUUUGAAGUAAAAGUUUGUUUGUAUACAUAAAUAGUGAUUUUUACUGAUAACAUAGUUAAUUUGAUUAAUGACAAAAAUAUGCUAAUGUAUGGCUAAAAUAUUGUACUAUGCUUAAAAAAACUUAUACGAAGGCCAUAUUUUAGUGUUAUUUGAAAUAACACUAAAAUGUAUUAUUAAUGAUUAAAACUGAGUACCUUACUUAGUAGGUACUGUUAAUAUACUUGUAUACAUAUUUGAUCGUAUGUGAAUAAAUAAGUAUUUUUGAAAUUUGUAGGGAAAUUAAUCUUUUCUUUUGGAGUUUUAAAAGAAACAAAGCGAAAACAUUUUUCCUCAGAGCACAAAAAUUCACAAAUUAAAGUAGUUGGUACAAAAGGGAAAGAGACAUUCUGAAUAUCAUUGUUUAAAGUACUAAAUAAAUGAGAUGUAAAAUGGUUGUUAAAAACAGGUGUAUUGACAUAUAAUAAAGGAAAGUCAUAAAGAGCUAGCCAUUUACAGGAAAAGUUAUCAUUCAUAAAAAUAGCAACGCUUCACGGUUUUCUUAUCAGUCUUGUAACAUAUGAGCAAAGUGGCAAUAAUUAAAAUAGUAUUUUUUUUCGAUUUGUACAUAUUUAAUUAAUAUUUUUUGCUUUUUAAAAAAAUGAAUGAAAAUGUUCUAUGAGAAAACACAUAAGUCAAAAGAAAUGGUCUAAAAGGGAAAAUAAUAGCAGAUACGUACAGUACUUGUAGUUCAUGUUCGAAGGACUAUAGUGCUGUUUUUAAAAAAAUAUCCCGAAAAAUAUCUAAUUCAAAUGGAACCGAUUCUUUACUAUUUAAAAUGUCAAAUCUGUGAUUGUUUUUGAACUGUUAUCCAUUGGUAUCGUAAAGUAUUAUUUUUUCAUCAAAUACCGCCUCUUUAACACCAAUUUUCACAUAAACAAAUUUAUUUAUCGGAUAAAAAGUAUAAAAAUUUAUUUUUGAAUAAAACACUAGCUCUUUAUGGCUUUCCUCCAUUAUAAGAACAGAUUACCCAUUUUUGCAUAAACAAAUUUAUUUUUCGGAUGAAAUAAAAAUAAAUCAGUUUUUCAGUAAAACAGUAACUCAUUAUGGGUUUCCUCCAUUAUAAAAACAGAGUACUCAUUUUAGCCCCUCUAAAAAAAAAUCUUGACUUUGUCACUAACUGAAAUGUUUGUAACUGAGAUUUAUCUAUGGUGAAUGUAUGAAACAUAAUUUUUUCACUGUAUUGAAUUUAUAUGAUGAAAAAUGAAAUAGGUGAAUUGGAUUAGUGAGCAUCAGUUUUGUAAAUGAUUGUGAGAGUAAACUAUAUUAUAACAAUAAAAUACGUUGAAUUGUGAAAAUUAUAAUUGAAACAUGCUCCUAAAUUUUGGAUAUGUGACUUUCCUAGUUGCGAAUUUCUUAAAUUAACAGUUAGUUAUUACUAUGAGUAUUGUGGUAAGUGUGAGAUGUGAAUGUCAGUAAUAACUGUUAGUUAUUAGUCUCAGUAAAAUCAGCAGUAAAUGUGAGAUAUUAAUUGAAAUUUUCAGAUAUCAUUUUACAUGGGUGGUUAUUAUCUGUUAGUUAAAAUUUUGGAGUUUUAAUUUUAUGGGUUAGAAGGGAAAACGUGAGAGAAAUGUGGGACAAACAUGAGCAUGAUUAUAGGAUUUAUACGACCAGUUAUAGGAUUAGUUGUCAGGUAAACAUUUCUUAAUUUUAGAAAUGUAAAAUUGUAAUAAAAUAGUAUUCAGACAACAUGACAAUUUGGAAAGCUCCUUAUCCAAAAUUCCCUCUGCAAUACAUAUAUAUUAGUCUUUUGACCCGUGCUAUGCACGGGAUUAUAUUUCAUAUUAAAAUAAUAUUGUAUAUAUUUAUAUAUUGUGGUACAGAAUAAUAUAUAUAUAUUAUUUUAAAGAAGUGCAUGUUUAACAUGUUGAAAAAAUUUUAAUUUAUAAUGAUUUACAUGAUAGAGAAAUUGUUAACGCAUUUAAGGUGAGGGUUAGGUUGGGUGGUAAGGUGAGAAGAGUUUUCUAAAAAAAAAUCAAUUUAUCAGUACCCAGCAAAACAUAUUAUGUUAUACCCAUAUAUCAAAACUUAUAAUAUAAAAAAAUAAAUUAUAACCAAUUUAUUUUCUUCCAUUUUUAGAAAAAAAAUCUUUCUCCUAUCUUGUACCUCUAAAAUUGUUGACUGCAUUUAGAUUAGCAUUUUUUUUUAUAAACUUUAACGUAUAUUUAAAAAUGUUAGGAAAUUGGUUUAAUUUCUUUUAGAUAGAAUUCUUAUUUUGUGUGGAAGUAACUAAUUUUCUAAUUGGUUUUAGUUACUUGAAAUAGUAGUCAAGAAAUAUUCUAUUUAGUUUAGGAUUAAAAGUUAUUCUAUGUAAAUUUAGGAAAUAGUAUUGGUUUCCAAUUGUUAUUUGAUUUUUUGGUAGUAAUGUUCCCUAUAAAUAGAUGGGUUGGCAUACUACACAGAGAGACACACAAAAGAGACACACAAGGAGACACAAGGGGCAUCAUGUAGCCUUAUACAUGGGGUGUGAGAGAGGGUUCUUGGGAGAUGAGAAAUGGUAUACAAGGGUUGGGUUUGGGUUCAAUUUGUAUUCUUGUAUAGGGUUUUUCUCUCAUAAUAAAGAACAGGUUUCUCUCCGUGGACGUAGGCUCAAUGAUGGAGCCGAACCACGUUAAAUAUUGUGUGUCGUUUAUCUUUCAUACUUGUGGAUUAUUUGCCAUUAAAUUGUUGUGCACUUGAUAUCUCAAUAGUUGUUUAUUCCGCAUUUGGAUCCUAACAAGUGGUAUCAGAGCUUGAUUGCGAGACUGAGCUGCUCAAGGUUCGUAGUUGGAUCCUAAUUAAUUAUUGAGAUCAAGUAGAUUGGUAGCUGUUACUAAUUGAACAAUUUAAUGAAUGGUAUUCUUGUUUCAAUGGUUUGGCAAAAAUCAUUGAUGGUGAAUGAUAGAAAGUCAAAAAGCAUGAAGAUACUUGACGAUGAAUCUAGGUAAGUGAUUCAAGGGUCAAGCAAAAGGUAGAGUCCAAUAUUAAUUUUGGACGUGAAUCGGUGGAGACUUUCUCACACCUCCAACGGUUGAUAUUUCAUUUCGAUGAAUUUUAGAUUUUAGUUAUAUUUUUUGGGUGGUGUGGCACGUGUCCCAAAGAAACAAAGAGAUCUAAUUUCUAUGCAUCAGAAGACUCUGACAGUUACGAAUUUUUUGUUUUAAGUGGAGUCUUGAAAACCACAUAUGGCGAGACAGUCCUGAGGAUGGGAAGAAGUAUGGUGACUUUACCACUUGAUUGCCUCAAUGGUUAGGGUUAGAGCUCACAGAAGGGGAUCCCAGAUUGUAAGUGGUGGUAAGAAGAAAUCCUGCAAAGGGAGAUGGUGAAUUGAGACACCUUCUCACGAGUCAACUGGAGGUUGGACUCGGGGUAACUACACAUGUUCGUUUGCCGAUUGAAUCAAUUUGAUGUCAGGAUUGUAUUGAUUCCGGUGUGUAGUUUGGUACCAUAUUAUUUGGUAGUUGAAGGCAAAUGGUUGCUAAAAGAAACUUUCGCCAAGGUGGAGAUGUGUUAGGAAAUUGACUUAAUUUCUUUUAGAUAGAAUUCUUGUUUUGUGUGGAAGUAACUAGUUUUCUAAUUGGUUUUAGUUACUUGAAGUAGUAGCCAAGAAAUAUUCUAUUUAGUUUAGAAUUAGAAGUUAUUCUAUGUAAGUUUAGGAAAUAGUAUUGGUUUCCAAUUGUUAUUUGAUUUUUUGGCAGUAAUGUUCCCUAUUAAUAGAUGGGUUGGCAUACUAUACAGAGAGACACACAAAAGAAACACACAAGGAGACACAAGGGGCAUCAUAUAGCCUUAUACAUUGGGUGUGAAAGAGGGUUCUUGAGAGAUGAGAGAUGAUAUACAAGGGUUGGACUUGGGUUCAAGUUGUAUUCUUGUAUAGGGUUUUUCUUUCAUAAUAAAGAACAGGUUUCUCUCCGUGGACGUAGGCUCAAUGGUGGAGUUGAACCACGUUAAAUAUUGUGUGUCGUUUAUCUUUCAUACUUGUGGCUUAUUUGCCAUUAAAUUGUUGUGCACUUGAUAUCUUAAUAGUUGUUUAUUCCGCGUUUGAAUCCUAACAAAAAAAAAUCUCUGUAAUGUAUAUUUUUAGAGUUCUCAAAAUUAUUAAAAAUCACCAUCAUAUCUCUCUUUUCUUAUCCGUCAGCUAGUCAUUAGAUGCCGUCUACGACUUUCGUAUCUUCUAUCAUGGUACCACUCUCUCUAUUUUUUUUUUGUCAUGUCUGUCAUAUCCCUGCAAUCCCCUUUCUUCUUCUCUCCCUACUCCGCCCAUCCUUGUAACCCACAUUUCUUCUUCAACCUUUCUCGCCACUUUUCAACUCCUCACCAUUUUCUUCCCUCCCUUCUCCCCCCAUACCCAACUUCUAAAUUCAUAUCCAUGUACCCAAUAUAUUUAACUUUACUAAUCAUAAUCAAAAUAUAAAAUUGAAAAUUGAUUACAAUGGUUGCAAUUAUUAGUAUCUAAAAAUGGAAAUGAAAAACUGAUAAUAUCUAUAAUAUUCUCAAAUACUACAAUCAAUAUAUAUAUAUAUAUAUAUAUAUAUAUAUAUAUAUAUAUAUAUAUAUAUAUAUAUAUAUAUAUAUAUAUAUAUAUAUAUUUAACAUAGCAAAUACAUAUUUACAUAUGAAGACGGUAAUAAGAAUACAUAAAAUAAUUAAUGAUAUCAAAAGUUAUCCUUAGUGUUUGGGUUUUACAUUCUUAUUCAAAUCUAAUCAGGGUCAAAUUUGGAUUAGAUAUAUACAAAUUAAGUAGUAUUUUAGGGUCGAAUGUUCUAUAUUUUUUUCUUAAACUAUAAUGUUACUUUUUUAAAAUUUUUGGUAAAAUUGGUGUUGUUAUUAUAAUAUUUAUCAAAAAAAAUUCCCACGUUAAAAGGCCAGUAGUACUUUUUUUUUUAUUUAGUGAUUUCAUAAUUUAGAUUUCAUGAAUGGUACCAUUCUUGAUUUUUUAAAUCCACGACAUUAUUUCCUUUUGUUUUCUGUAUAAUUUUGCUAUUUUACUUAGGAUUACUAAGUUAAAAGAUAAAAUAUUAUCAUUUACUUUUUUACUUUUACUAAGUUUGGUAAUGUUUUCUCUUUAUUUACCCUCCCACUAAUAAAUUUCAAACCAAAUUCCUAUAUAAGUGGAGCCACUUCUUACUUAUUUAAAUUAGAAAGGCAUGGAAGCCACUUCUUAUUUAGAAAAAUGUUAUUUGCACUCCAUUUUUUAUUAUUUGUAAUUCCACCAUUUGUUUUAUCAUAUAGUCUAAUUAAUGAAAACUAUAUGAUCAAAAUGAUUAUUGAAGUGUGAAUAACAAAAAUAUAGUGUAAAUAAUCUUACUUAUUUAAAUUAAUAAGAAAGCAUGAAAGGAUGUCAUAUUUGUUAUCUCUUGUUAUGGUCUUAUAGAAGUUUUAAUUGGAGUAGAAUCAUAAAUAACGCAAGGUAAUCGAAAACGUGAUAGGUUGAAGUACAAAUAAGAUAACAUGCACAUUAACCAACAAUUUGAAAUGAAAUGAUUUUAAAAAGUAACUAACAAUUUCAAAUGUGAAGAGUAGAUGUGGAAGUUAAGAGAAAUAUAUUUUAUAAAUUAAAUUAAAUGUGAAAUGCUAGAAAAAUAGAAUUGAUAGUGGGAAGAUGUGAAAGUUUGUUGCUAAAAAUUCUUUCUCAAAUUUAUAUAGAUAUAGAUAAAUAUAGAUGUCUUUUUUUUAGUGGUUCAAUCUCAUAUUCGUAAACUAUCUGCAGAAAAAAAAAAUUCUGGACUAUACUAAUUUUGUUAUACCAACUCUGUUAUUCUUAUUAGUGUAUUAAUUGUUACGCUAUUUCUCUCAUUUUGUUGGGCCUACAUUAAUACAAGUGUAAUUGUUAUUAUGUCUCGUGUCCCAGAAAAUACAUAAUAUCCUAUUCAGGUGGAUACGUGCAACAGAUAAUCAAAUUGAUGGUAAAAAUUUAGAAUGAAUAAGUUGCUUUUGCAUAAUGGUUGUAAAGGUUUCUUGAGACUUUAUGAAUUAGGUGUCUUGCGUUUGCAAAAAGAAUUUCAGAAGAUUUUUUGUAUUGGAAAUGGAGUUAAAACUUGCUAUAGGUUACUUUCAUGUAUUUCAAUCUUAUCGUAAAGGGUAAUUUGCUGUUGAACCUAAUUUUUUUUCCGAUUAUAUCCAACUAAUAAAUUAACUUAUGAAAAUAGAUAAUUUAUGGAGGAAAACUAUAAGUAGCUGGUGCUUAUUUUGAAAAAUAUAUUUAUUUUUAUUUUAUCCAAUAAAUAAAUUAGCUUAUGAAAAAUGGGUACUCUGUUCUUAUAAUGGAGGAAAAUCAUAAAGAGCUAGUGUUUUAUUCAAAAACGGAUCUAUUUUUAUUUUAUCCUAUAAAUAAAAUUUUUGUAUGCAAAAAUGGGUACUCUAUUCUUAUAAUGGAGGAAAGUCAGGAAGAGCUAGUAUUUUAUGGAAAAAUGUGUUUAUUUUUAGUUUAGCCGAUAAAUAAAAUUUUUUAUUUAUAGAAAAAUGGGUACACUGUUCUUAUAAUGGAAAAAAGUCAUAAAAAGCUAGUGUUUUAUUGGAAAAUUGGUUUAUUUUUAUUUGAUCUGAUAAAUAAAAUUUUUUAUGAGAAAAACGGGCACUGUGUUCUUAUAAUGGAGGAAAGUCACAAAGAGCUAGUGUCUUAUUGGAAAAUGGGUUUAUGCAGAAUUUUAUUUUAUCCAUAAAUUUUUUUUAUGGAAAAAUGUGUACUCUAUUCUUAUAAUGGCGGAAAGCCAUAAAGAACUAGUGUUGUAUUCAAAAAUAGGUUUAUUUUUAUUUUAUCCGAUAAAUAAAUUUUUUUAUGGAUGUCUAGAUAAAAUUUAUUGAUCGGAUUAAAAGAAAAUUUAUUUUAACACUGAUUUUUCCAAAAACAAAUUUUCUUUUCAAAAAAAAAAGAAAAUAAACCCGUUUUCUAAUAAAACAGUCGCUGUUUAUGGCUAUCCUGCGUUAUAAGGAAAGAGUACCCAUUUUCUCAAAAACAAAUUUAUUUAUCGAAAUAAAAUAAACAUAAAGGCGUUUUACAGUUAACCACCCGCUAUUUACGGCUUGCCUCCAUAAAUUAUCCACUUCACUAUUUUUCAUAAGUUAAUUUACUAGUUGGAUAAAAUUGGAAUAAAAUUAGGUUGAAUAGCAAAUUAGCCUUUAGGAUAAAAUUGAAAUACAGGAAAGUAACCUAUAGCAAGUUUUAACUCCGUUUCCACUACAAAAAAUCUUCUGCAAUUGUUUUUGCAAACGCAAGAAGAAUAAUUCAUAAAGUCUCAAGAAACCUUUACAACCGUUAUGCAAAAACAACUUAUUCAUUCUAAAAUUUUAGCAUCAAUUUGAUUACCUAUUGGACGUAUCAACAUCAAUAAGAUAAUAUGUAUUUUCUGAUACACGAGACAUAAUAAGAAUUAAACUUGCAUUAAUGUAGGCCUAACAAAAUGAGAAAAGUGGCAUAACAAAUAAUACAAUAAUAAGAAUAACAUAUUUGGUAUAACAAAUUUAGUGUAGUCUAGAAUUUUAUUUUUUUCUACAGAUAGUUCACGAAUAUAAGGUGCAACCACUAAAAAGAAUGACAUGCAUAUGUAAUGUAAAAAUGAAUAUAAAAUGAAUGUAGUUACAUUGUGUCAUCCGGUAUUCGGGUCCACAGUGGAAGCCGAACUUCAAUAAUGGAAAGCCAGAGUUGAAGCUUACUUCAGACGCUAUGGGAAAGAAGUGGGGUCACCAAUAUUUGGUACAAAGGAAAGACUUGCAAUAACAUAAUACGGAAGUCAGUCUGUUGUUUGCUUCCAUCCGCACACGCUUCUACUUGAUUUUCUAUGCACGCGCUCUCCAACAAUUUAACAUCUCCGUUUGGACCGUUUUGCCUCCAACACGCUCUCUGCCGACAUUCCUACCGUAGGCAGAUUCCUACCAUAAAGGUUUCGGUACGGAACAGGUCCAUUCAACCAAUGUUUUCAGAACCGGACCGGACCGGCCGGUUCGACCGGUUGGACCGCGAACCGGCCAUGUCACCGGUCCGGUCUAAUGCUAAAGCCGGAAGUUCAUGGAGAACCGUUGAAACCCGGACGAACCGUGCGAACCGUUAAGAACCGUGAACCGGCGGUUUUUUAAAUUCUUCAACAAAAUAUCAAGAAUGGUGUAGCUAAGAUUCGAACCUGGGUCUCCAACUUUAAAUAUGACAAUCUUACCGCUAGACUGUACUUAAGUUUGUUGAGAAUUCUACUUGACUAAAAAAUAUAUUAAAACAUCAAGUUCUUUUCUUAUUUUUUUUUUUUCAAUUUUUUCUUCUUAACCAUUUUUAACCCAAAUAUCCACAACAAGAUUUUCUCAAGUCUUCACCAUUAUUAUCUGGUUAUUAUCUUUAGCAGAUUGUAAACAAGUUGAAAAUUUCAACUUUUCUUGUUUUCCAACAUUUUAGUAAGUUUAAUUUUUUUCUUUUCAAGGUUUUUUCUAUAUUAUUAUCUUUAGUUGAUUUUUUGCAUUUUCUUCUUUUUCCCCUCAAUUUUCAUAUGUUUCCCUCAUUUUUGUUUUAUUUUUAUUCGAUUAAUUAAGGAUGAAAUUUUUGCAAAAGUAGUGCACAUCCGUGUAGGAAUUGGGUAGGAAUUACAAAUAAUAACAUUGGGCUGGUCAAAAAUAUGGUAGUUAGCACAUAAUCGAAACUAUUGAUAAUUGAAUUUAAAAUAAUUAAUGGUAUAGGAUCAUUGAAUUUAAUAUAACAUGUUAAUUAGUAAUGUUUAGUAGCAAUUAAUUUUUUAUGUGUUUAACUGUAUAUUUGUUUUUCAAAAAUUUUUAGUUUUUUUUAGUUUAAGCAAUUAGAUUUAUAUUUUUAUAAUAAAAUUUUACUUUUUCAGCUUAAGUUGAUGAAAUUGUGAAGGUGGUGUGGUUGCUUAUCAUGCCACUGAUAAAAGUUUGCUAUUCAAAUAGUUUGUUUUAACUUGAACUCUUUUAUGGAUUUUUUUAAGGGUUGUAAAAGAAUUUUAAUAUUUUAUUUAUUUAUUUUUUGUGUUUUUAUUUGUGAUAAUUGGCGCACAUUUGGAUUGUAUCUAUUUAUGUUUAUAAUGAAUUUAUGAAAACUUAUGGUGAAUUAUGAUAUUUUAAUUAUAUUUAUCAUUCCAUGUUUUAUGUAUAACUUUUAGAAAAUUUAUUAUUAUCAUAACUUAAAUUAAGUUAUGUUGGUAAAGUUCAAGUAUAGAAUGAAACAUGCUUAGUACUUAACACUAAAAAAAAAAAAAAAAAAAAAAAAAAAAAAAAAAAAAAAAAAAAAAAAAAAACAGUGAACCUUUGAACCGGCCGGUCGGACCGGUCGAACUGCGAACCGGCCACCUCUCCGGUUCACUGACCGGUCCGAGUUUAAAAACAUUGCAUUCAACUGGUCGAGUCAAGUGACGAUCGAUCAUUCGUUAGCUAGCAAAAUGACGAACUGACAAUAAUGACUUUGAGCUGCUUUACGUCAAUUUAACUUUUUUCUUUAGUUGUUUACUUUUUUCUUUUUUUCGGAAACGUUAACGAUGUAUUGAUCAUAAUAAGAAACUUUACAACAAAAGUUGGGCAAAGGCUCCAGCAGAAGCUUUACAACAGUGCAUAUGCUCGCACUUACAAGGAGUAAUAAUAAUAAUGUUUGAAGCGUGAACGCUAAGCCUAUGACAUAAAUCCAUAUUUGUGGGGUUUUCUUUUUUUUUUUUUUGGUAAUCUAAAAGAUCCAUAUUAAAAUUUAAAUGUCGUACUGAUUGUCCAACGAGUACUACUCAUUAGAAAAAAAAAAUUCAUAGUUAAUUGCAAAGGGCAUAAGGAUAAUGAACUUGAUAAUAAUAAGAUAACGACAUUUUUGGCCUGGUCUUUUAAUUUACGGGAUUGAUUGAUGGCUCUGUACAGUGGUAUUACCAUACAUGCUAACAAGUUUGGUACGUGUCUACAUGAAAACUGUCGGUGUGUAUUUAAAAUAAGAAUUAAUAUUUUCUUUUUCUUUUUCUUUUUCAAAUGUGUUGUUGACAGUCUACUUAACAAAUAUGCAGUCACUUGCACGACAGAGAGAGAGAGGAAGGGGACAAUUAACAUUGGAGGAGUCACUAAUCAGUCGAAGCAUGGAUUGAUGCCACGCCCAAAAAACCAAAAAAAAAAAAAAAAAAUUGUGAUAGCACCAUGUGUAGUGUAAAAUGGUUGGCGCAUGUGGGGGGAAGAUGCAUCAUAUGCCUGGAUAAGCUCUCUCGCUCAUAAUUUCCGUCAGCACAUCAAUCAAACAAAAUACUCACUAAUAAGUAACAACCACCUCACCUUGAAUUCAGAUGCUGCGUUGCAUCUUAAAGCUGUAGAGCUGGGUGGGGAAUGGUGGCCAGGGAUUGGUUGGGAAGAUUGCGGGGGCCUGGGCUGUUCCAAAUUUUAGCUGUGCCAGUCCAAAGGUCGAAGAAGCAAAGGUGCUAAGAGAGGCCAUGAUAGUGAACUGUAGUCAAGUAGUGAAAGCAGUGUGCAGUGAGGAGGAGGAUGUAGUGAUAGCAUCAAUUGUACAUGACAUCAGGAUACUUAGGUUAAAAUUUGAUGAAUGUUGUUUUACCUUUACAAAUAGGGUGAACAAGCCAUAAACUAGCUAAAGUAACUAUUGCUUUGGAACAAAAUACAGAAUGAAAGGAAAACUCCCCAGUUUGGCUGCUGGAACAAGUCCAAGCAGAUUGUAAGGACAGUUGCCCGGCUAUACUGUAAUUGGUUUACUAUUAAUACAAUGUUGCCGUUCUGAUUAAAAAAAAAAAAACCACCUCACCUUCAUUGCUCUUAAGAGUCAUCAUGGUUUUGUGGGAAUUGGGAAUACCUGAAUGAUGGGCAUGGGAGUGCGUAUCUCACUGAAAUUACCUCCGAAAAGCUUUUCCACCGUAACACUUGAGGAUAGAAUAUUUGUCUCGGUCCAAUGUAUAGAUUGUUAUCUUUCAAUGGAUUAAUCUUUCAAGUCCCUGCUGCAUCAAUUGCUAUAGUACUGUUGGAGGUGUACUAGUCAAAAAGCUUCUCUGUAGCACCGCAUAUCUGAUGUGCGGUUAAAGAAAAAACUUUUCCAAACCGUCACAAAUCAGAUGUGCGGUUAAGGGAAAAACAUAUUUUAAUUCAUUUGCCGCAAAUUAGUAUUGCGACAAAAGAUUUAAAAAACAUUUUUUUUCUUGCUCCUUCAAAAUCAUGACCCUUGAUCAUAUGUUAAUCAAUGGUCCAUUUUUGGCUAAAAUAAAAAAAAAUGCAAUCGAAAAUCUUAACUUCAAAAAUUCUUAAGCUGCGAAAAAAAAUAAAAAAUAAAUCAGACAACUUUUAAGUCGAUAUUGUGACUUGCGGCGACCCUUAUGAUAGACAAACUCCCUACAAAACACUACUUUUGUGAUAAUUUUUUAUUUUAACAUUAUUACAAAAAAUUUGCCCAAUUUUUACCCAAAUUAUCCAAAUUUUAUUGCAAAUUGGAUAAAUUGGAUAAUUGAUUUUGACAUUAUUCCGAGAAUAACGUAGGUAAAUUAAAUUUUAGGCUUCCAUGGUUUGGGUUUACAUAUUCGGGUUUUAGUGCUGGGGUUUAGGGAUUAGGAUUCUAGAGUUAGGGUUAGGAUUUUACGAAAAUAAAUAAAUAAAUAAAGGAAUCGCCACACAUGAGCUUUGCAGUGAUUCUUUUUUAAUAUAAUAUUUUUCGCCGCACAUACUUUUGCAAAAAAAAAAAAAAAAAACCUCUCCAUUAGCUUCGUUGGCAAAAAAAAAAAAAAGCAAAUUUAAACAAUUUUUUUAUGAAACCCAACUUCCUAUUUGCGGCGACUCUUUAGGUAAAAACACUCUUCAACUAACACCACUUUUAUGAUAAUUUUUGGUUUUAACAUUAUUCCGAGAAAUUCGCCGCACUGGCUGUGCAUAGCAUAGCCCACCCCUAUUAGUACUACUAGAAAGUAGAUAAAAUUUUUUUUUACGGCAAUGAUAACAUUUUAUAACAUAAUCUAUCAUAAUCUAUAUGGAGGGGAGUAUAAAGAGACUGUGUAUAAGUAGUUAUAAAGUAUAAGAAUCUGACUAGAUCAAAAGGAUACUUUGACACCUCAUUUGAAUUUUUUUCACUGUAAGUGGGGUUCGAACCUCCGACUUAUGGUCCAAAAAGAGGCUUAUAAUUCCUUUUUUUUCACUGCAGACCAUCUUUUUUUUUUUAGGAGGAGAAAGUAGUCUUGAUGACGGCAUCAAAAUUCAACGCCCCUUCCAUUUCAUUUCCACCCUACUUCCAUGCUAGUACUGCAUGCUGCCCCGUUGCUAUCUUUCUAUAUAAAGUCCUCGCACCUAUUCUACCUAAAUGGCUCCUACCAUCUAAUUCAACCAUUUCUUAACAUCAGUUUAGUUUAUUGCUGCCUACAUCCCUUCCCAAACACCCCCCCCUCCCCCCGGGAACAAGAAAAAAAGGAAAAAAACUUCCAUUUCCAACAUUUAUCAUUUGGGCUGUUGAUCAGAUCCACCCAUCGCCACUGACUUGACUCUUUCCUUCAUCAACUAUGGCUGAGAAGGUAAGCCAAUUCUCUUGCUAGCUUUCCCAACCAUCCCUCAAAUGUUCGUGAUAUAUUAUUGUUUUGCAUCUUUUUUUUUUCCUCUUUUAGUGUUUGCUUAAUCUAAAAAUUUUAAUUGCAAGUCUAUGACAGCACAUACAACGUGAAAUAUGCUUCUUUUUAUGUCAAGAUCUCUAGCCACAUCUCUCAGCGUAAAACUAGUAGCACCAUAUAAUUGUGCAUCUUAAUUUUGCAGUUCCUGAUUGUUAUAUAUAUAUAUAUAUAGAGCGACGGAGCUAUGUUUUUUUUUUCUAAGAGAUCAAAAUUUUUCAUAACAAAAUUAUCUCAAUAUAUUAUGUUCAAAAUGAUUUCCACACACACAUAUAUAAACUCUCACAAUAUAAACUAAAAUUAUAAAAAAAUUAAAAAGAUCAACUUUAAUUUUACACAUAUAUCUACAUAUUAUGAAUUAAAAUUUUUAAAACUUAAGGAGCCAUGGCCCAUCAGCCCCUUGGCUUCGUCAUUAUAUAUACAUAUGGAUCGAGUUUGACUAUUUUGCUCCGAUAAUAUAUAUGCAACCAUACAGGUGACUACAAUGAGACUCGAGGUUGAUCUUCAAUGCUCCUGCUCCUACAAGGUCAAGAAAUUCCUCUGCAAAUUUCCUCGUGAGUCUCUUAUAAUUAUCAAUUCUAUCUCUUAUGUUUUCAAUACCAGUAUUACUAGUAGUAGUUCUUCUUUAGAGCAAGCACAGUUGGAUGGAGGACAUCCACCGUUCCACCGACUACAUACAUGGCUAGGCAUGUGUGCCACCAUGGGCUACAGUUUUUUUUUUCCCCUUCUCCAUGAUUAAACAACAAAAGCUGGGUAGUGUGGCUUACGAAACUACUAGUGAUCAGUUAGUGGCUUUAAUUUGUAUGGACAAGAAUUUGAGUUUUUUUUUUUUUUUGGGUGAUGCUCAAUUUUUUUGGACAAGAGAAAUCCAAGACCAGGUAUAUGAUGAGAAGCAAAAUCUGGUGACCAUCACCGUGGUGUGCUGUAGCCCCGAGAAAAUCCGCGACCAAUUAUGUUGCAAGGGUGGUAAAGUCAUUAAGAGUAUUGAGAUCGUGGAGCCACCAAAGCCUAAAGAGCCCGAAAAGCCCAAGCCACCACUUGCAGUGGCGGUCUGCUGUGUCCUAUGUUCGGAAGGGUACGGAGGGGGACGAUGCUGCUGCAGGAACUGGCGGCCUGUGCCCCCGCACGCGUGCGGGUGCGGAUACCGGUAUAGUCAUUGUGAUUAGUUCAGUGAGCAGAUCACUGGCGACUGUACGAUUAUGUGAGAGGAGAGGAGAGGAGAAUUUGAUAUGGGGAAUGAUAUGAUAUGAAAAGCAUCCAAAUUAAUCAUUUAAUUUUGUUUGGUGGGCGGUACAUGCAAAUGCAUUGAAGCAAAAUAAUACUAGCAGUAUUGUGUAGUUAGGGCCUUCAUAGGACCUAUAAUAUAAAAGGAAGAAGAAAAUAAAGUUAAUGUGCAUGCUAUUAUGGAGUAUAUAUAUAGAGAGACGUACAUGUGGGGACUGAUUCAAGUUGGAAGUCACUUAGAAUAAGCUUUUGUAUGUACCCUAAUGAAUAAGUUUUCUUUAAGUGUCAAGGCACACUUUUGUAAAGAUGUUUGAGAGCCGUUGCUCAGAUAUUGUAUAGUUUUGACAUAUUAAUAAAAAUUUUAUCGUUUCGGAAAAGAAAAAAAAAAUGUCAUUGCAUCAAAUUUUUUUCAUUGUUUAUAAUAAUAAUAAUAAUAAUAAUAAUAGAAAUGAUGUCGUUAAAAGUGCAUGUACUCUCUUCUUCUUCUUCUUUAUUAUUAUUAUUUUUAGAUUUCAUUUUCUCGCUUUGCUCUCUAGUAGUAGUAGUAGUAGUGUUAGUAAAUUAAUGUGCUAGUGUAGAUGUUCUAGAUACACAUCUUCUUUCCUGUUUCUUCAUUUCUUAAAUCUCUCCAUUCUUUGCCAGAAAUAAAAUUAAAAAUAAAAUUUUAUAUAUAUAUAUAAGUAGUAAUGUGCUAGCGUCACAGGAAGGAAUGCAGAAAGGAGCCAGUAGUACUUAACAGUCACUUGGGAUCCUCGGUGACAUAUUUUCUAUGCCAAUCCAAUACCACCUCUAAUAUUACGCCAAGUGUCCUAUUAUUAUUUGCACUUUAAUUUUCUAAUAAUUUAAAUUGAUUUGAUUUGACACAAGUUUUCUUUACCUUCUAAACCUUUAAACCAAAAUUAACCGACCGGACCAAUGAUACUCAUCUUAUUACUUGAGCAAGCAGUGAAGUGCGCUGCCAUGGCCGCCCGCUCCAUCGUCCUCACUAUGGCUCAGUAACAACUGACAAAUGGCAGCGUUAUUGAAGAAAUUGGCAACGAAGGCUGCACCGAUGAUCGCAUUCAAUGGAGCUUUUCUAGCCCAAUCCAAGUCUACUUUUCUAAAUUUCCGUAUCCCCUUUGGAGCUAUUGCAGCGGUUUCCGGUGGCAUAUCAUAUUAUUACUACUUCUCUUUUUCAUCCGUGGUAAUUUCUCCCAACUAUUUCAUCUGUGUUUCGGUCACUUGGUCUGCCACGUCACAGCUCUGUCCUCCACAGAUGGAAAUUGUCAGUUGUUACCGAGCCAUAGUGAGGAAGAUGGAGCAGGCGGCCAUGGCAGCGCACUUCACUGCUUGCUCAAGUAAUAAGAUGAGUAUCAUUGGUCCGGUCGGUUAAUUUUGGUUCAAAGAUUUAGAAGGUAGAGAAAACUUGUGUCAAACCAAACCAAUUUGAAUUAUUAGAAAAUUAAACUGCAAAUAAUAAUAGGACACUUGGCGUAAUAUUAGAGGUGGCAUUGGAUUGGCAUAAAAAAUAUGUCACCGAGGAUCCAAGUGCUUAACAGUUGGGUAAAAGUAAAAAUAACGCAUAUGAAUUUGCAUGCCAUCUCAAAUGCUCGCAUGCAAUAAUAAAUGUCAAAAGUUUAGUCAACAAAAGACCGACCAACGUUUUUUUUUUUUUUUUUUUAUAAUAACAUUCAUCAACCAACAACCUUCCAGGACACCAUGGCACGGCAGUAAAUGGAGUAUAUAUAUAUAUAUAUAUAUAGUAGCAAAACAAGACAAGACAAGAGACAGACUCACUCACAGUAACCUAUUUUAGUCAGAUUGAUUAAUUAAUUUCGGGUUAGUUUGGUUGUCUUUGUCUUCACUCUUCUGUAAUAAAUUGUCACUCAGCGCCGGUGUCGUCCUGUUGGAUUGUUACAAAAUAAUUGAGGAGAAAUAAUUGCGAGGUGGUGGAGUCACUAAUUCGUUGUCCUUCCAAUUCCAAAUCCUUUCUUUCACUGGAUCCUUUCAUUGUGGCUCUAGGUUUUGGUUGGAUGUGGCGGCCGGCAUGAAAGUGACGGAGCAGCCCGCAGAGGCUUUUACGAAAUACCGAAGGCUCGAAUCAUGACAAAGAUUUCCCCAUGAAAUUAAUUAAGCUUCAGAGGGAUACCACACACACAUAUUGCCCUCUUUUAACCGGUGCAUCAUUUCAUUUGAGGGAUGGAUCAUGGAGGAGGGCAUUUUCUGCUUCUCUUAUUUUUCUCCUCUCUUCUCUUCUUGAGUAGUGAAUAGUGAUUGCCCUUCUCAAGUACAGAGUACAGUAGUAGUAUAUAGUAGUAGCAACUACUCUCCGUUUUUGAAUUGUACUGCUCCGUUUCAACAUACUACUGUUACUGGUCAUGAGAAAAAAAUUCUUGCUUCAGUUUCUUGUAUGAGGUAGCAGAAAUCUAUAGGUCGAAACUCGAACGAACGUCCGACAAAUGACCUAAGAAAUGAUUUUCCUGGUGCCCAUUGAUCUAUAGAACCCAAUGGCCUAAAAAAUUAGCUAGCUGAAAACACCACCAUCUCCACGGUCCUGGAACCUCACCGGCAGCCCAAUGUAGAAAAAAAAAAAAAAGAAGAAGAAAACUCAAAUGCUGCUGACUGCUCUGCUGAGUGUCGACUGAGAAGGAAGGAAGGAGAGUAGAGAGAAGAAUGGUGGCCGCCGCCUAUUCGCCGUCUCAUCUCUCUCGCGACCCACACCUCUUCUGUAACUCUCUUUAUCCCACUCACCUCCACCAACUCGGAAUCAUCCCCCAUAACGCCCUCGCUUUUCAUCCUCUCAAGCCCCAUCCAAAACCUUCCCUCUCUAUACCGGCUUCCCAACAACAAUCCCCCUCAAUUUCCCAAAUUCCUCACCGCCCAGAUGCUAAAACCAUCUCUUCUUCCUCAAAAAGCUAUAUCUGGGUCAACCCCAACAGCUAUAUCGGGGUAGGUGCUGCCGGCUCUCAAAUCUCAAAUUUUGCUUACGAUUCCCCAACAGUACUAAUUCAUCUCUCUCUCUCUCUCUCUCUCUCUCUCGGCUAACGGUAAAUGUAAUUUUAUGUGCAUAUCAGGAGACAUACAAAGCAAAAACCUUUGGAGCUAGCUUACUCAUACAUACAAAUUGUGUAUUUAAAAUAAGAAUUAAUAUUUUAUAUACUGAAAAUAAAAAUAUAAUAAUUUUUUUAUACUAAUAAUUUUGAAUAUAAAAUUUAAAUUCAUACUAUAUGGUAUAAUAUAAAUCUGUUAGUGCCCUCUGCAGCUUGUCCCUGGUCGAACCUUGCUGCUAACAAGUUGUGGAGUGUGGAGAAUAGUUUGUGGGAUCCAUUUCCUACGGAUACCCCUAAAAAAUAUAUCUCAGCAUGAUUACGUUACUUGAUUCUCGUCCGACUAUUAUCUUAAAAAGUCUGUUUGGAUUGUGAAUUAUUAGAGAUAUUUUUACUGUAGCACUUUUUGUGAUGUGAUGUAUGUGAGAUAAAAAGGUAAUUGGAAAGGUAAAAAGGUGUAUUGGAAAUUGUAACGAUGAUGUAAACAAAUAAAUUUGAGAAAAUAAAGCCCAAUCUGUUUGGUUAUAUUACAAGCGUCCCAAUUCAAUUAAAUUCCGCUGCGCUGCGCCUUCAAAUGUGUUGUUAACAGUCUACUUAACAAAUAUGCAAUCACUUGCACGACAGAGAGAGAGGAAGGGGACAAUUAACAUUGGAGGAGUCACUAAUCAGUCGAAGUAUACCCCCAGUUACAGUAGUUGAAAAGCCGAUGGCACUUGCACCACCACCACCACCACCAGCACCGACUUCACCUGAACCGUGCUCUCACCCGCCAGUUCCAGUGGGGUUCUGCUGUGUCCCAUGUUCGGAAGGGUACAACGGGGGGCCAUGCUACUAUGGUUAUGGGCGGCCCGCGCCCCCGCCGCCCUGUUAUGAUAGCUAUGGUUUCAGGUACGGGCAUGGGAAGGGAUAUACGGACAGCCGUUGCAAUUAUUUCAAUGAGGACAACACUGGGGGUUGCACGAUUAUGUGAGAGAGGAGUAGAGAAUUUGAUGGGGUGAUUUUACUGAUAUGAUGUGAAGAGCGUCCAAAUUAGUAAUCAAUUAAUUUUGUUUGGUGGGCGGUAAGAGCAAAUGCAUUUGAAGCAUUUAGUAGUAGUAUUGUGUAGUUAGCGCAAACCUUGAGAACAAUCUCCUGAACCUCUUCUUCCUUCUUUUCUUCUUUCUUGUCCCCUUCUUCUUCCUUUUUACUAGUAUCUUCUUUGUUUCCCGGUACUUGUUUCUGUUGCUCCUCCUUGUUCGCUUCCUCUUUCUUCUCCUGCAGCAUACCAUGCAUGAGAUCAAUGAGAAAGUGAUAGCAAAACUUAUUACAGUAGUUACUGGGAUUUCCUUCCGUUCAUUCGAGGGAGCAAUUAGAAUAAUCUUGUGCAAGGAUAUUUGGAAGUAGAAAACUAAAAACUUACUUCGCCCAUAUCGUCUAACUCUGACAAGCCCCUCUUCCUAGUCCUAGCUAAUACUACUAAUCAGUAGUAUAUAUGUUUAUAUAGAAUGUAUUACUGCAGGGAGGAGGGGGGGGGGGGAUCGUGGAGAUUUUCUUAUACAAGAAAUGAAAUGAAAUGAGAGCAAGGACCCUUUCUCUCAGUAUAGUAGGCAUACAGCAAGCUCGGGGCUUUGGGGUGAAGGAAAAUGGGAAGAGAGGAACGUUUAAUUUAAGUAGCGGGUGGUCGCGGUCUGGUGGUACUGCCUACACUGCCCGGUGCCCACUGCUGCGGCUGCUCCAAAAUUCCAAAUUUCUUUAAAGCGAGUUGCCUACGGUGCUGUCCUUCAGCUGACUCAGCACCUCAUAAUUUUGGCCCCCUGCUUAUGAUUCUAUCUCCGACUACGAGUACAUCAUCUGCAAAUGUAGUAGUCGCCUUUGACUGAUUAAAUAGUAGUCUGACACUACAGUAAUUUAGGAAAAAAUAUAUAUAGUAAAUAAAAUCUUGCAUACGUAGAAGUUAAUGGAAAGGAAAUACUACGAAUUAUUACGGAGAUGGAUGGGAAAGGAUUCCAACUUUGUAAAAGCCCUUGGAGUUAUCCUGCAAGCAAAAACCAAACGAAUGGUCGGCCUGGUAAGGGCUAUCAGGAUCUUUAAAAAAGAAAAGUUGGAAUCUAGCGGGACCUCCCCGCCCCCAAUUUACGACCAGUUUUCAGGAAACCAUUCACUGUAUAUAUGUGACGCUUCUGGCUUCCGCUCAUGUAUAUAAUCUGCUGUAACUAUUGUGUGUGUGUGUGUGUGUAUAGGAGUAUGUUUUUUGAUGACUAAUGUAACUAUUGGAAUUACUCAACUUCCUUCUUCGAUUACAUUACAUACUUGAUCGGCUAUAUUAUUUUGAUGAUCCCAAAUUAAUUAAGAUGAUCGACCUUGUAAUAAUGAUUAAUUAAUUGGUUAGAAAAUAAUUCCAAUUUACCACUUGCUUCCACAUGUCAUCACAUAGUUCUUGAGAACUAGUUGUUGCCUAAAUACAAAACAGGCUUCUGCCUACUUUUGAAUUUUGGCUUCCAUAGGAGGGUACAAGCGUGUAUACGAAAUCUUUAACUCUUCAGAAUUGAAGCUGCAAGUGCAAGAUUUAAGCAUCCGAAAGCAAUUAAUUUAAUGCCAUAUGCUACGGCUAUUGGAUUAGGCAAUAAUUUGCUAGUACUUACUAUAGCUUAAUGACUUAAUCGGCUAAUUACAGAAAUUAAUGCAGAAGAGGUCAACAGGCACUACUCGAAGACAAGCCACAAAAUCCAGGUGCGAUGAGGAAAAAGAAAAUUAAGUGAAAUCUAUAUACUAUUUCUUCAUGCAUGGCUGUCCCUUUUUGUUUACCCAUCUAAGGUUAAAUUUCUAUCUCAAAAUUCCUCGGGUUAAAUGAGUACCACAAGUUUUCUUGGGGAGACCUUUUUAAAGAUUUGUAGAACAUGCACAAGGAUAAUAACUUCAGUAGGAGUAUGUUUUUUGAUGACUACUGUAACUAUUUUAACUGCAGCGGGAUAAAUAUACUGGACGGACCAUAGCUUCAACAUUGCACGUUAUGGGAAAGAUUGUAAGUUGCUGUUCAAAUGUUUUGACGACAUCUUUAAACUUAGCAAGACGCAAAAUGUUAAAACAGAAAAACAGACGUACAAGUGCAGGAAGGAACAAUUAACGCAGCACAUUUCCUCAUCAUUCCAAGAGAGAUCGAACACUAGUAUACGUCUAAAAGCGAGUAGUAAUAAUAUUUUGCAAGAGGCAAAAAAACAACGGCAGUAAAAAAGAAAAUAGAAAAGUUGGGGGAAGAAGGACAAGUUUUGGCGAAUAGACAAAGAGUAACCGACGUCCCGAAGUGGGGCGAUUUUUUUUUUUCAAAAGCUUUGCGUACACUAACAUAUCAUGUAUAGUGAUGAAGACGGUAUACUUGUCUAGGAGGGAUGGCAAGGUUAUCCUGACCUGAAAUCACAGAGAAAGAAGCGGCCACCACAAUUUAAAGGACGGGGCUGUAACAUUUGACAAAGACGGCAGCCCACUGCAUAAGUGGUCCAAGUUCCAUGGAUGGAUCUUGCGUUUCUCAAAUGGUUGAAUUCUUCGAUACUAUCAUCACAACGUGUUAGUACAUGAUACGUUAUUAUUUUGAUUUCACACCGUACCUAGUUUAUAUAUUGGAUUGGAUGAAGAAAGACAAUUCAUAUUCAUGUCCAACGGCAUUUUGCCUGCUGCCUGGCUCUGCACUCUGCAGCCAGUCUCAUGGGCCUCACCGUGUAGUUUCAAGAGUGAGCCCAUAGAAUUGCUACGAACAGAUCUGGGUUUCAAGAUGGGCCGCCACUCCUUUCCUUCAUCAAUUCCUCCAGUAUACACAAUCCACUCAUCUAGGCAAGUGACGAUCAUUCGUUAUUCAAUUCCAGGGUACCUGAUCCACUCAACUAGUCUAGGCAUGUGACGAUUAUUCGUUAUUCAAUUCCAGGGUACGAACAGAUCCAUUCAACUAGUCGAGUCAAGUGACGAUCAGUCGUUAGCUGGCAAACUUUGAGGCUUAUGCUUCAUCCGGGACCUAACUUUUGGUAGGGCAGUAUUGAUAACUGGUUUUGCAGAAAAAAAAAAAUUCUGUUGUUCAAGUUGCAAAAGCAUGAGGUGUAAAUCUUCCGAGGGUUGAACUUAGAAUGCUGUCCAAAAUAAAUUUGACUAGUUGUAAGGGCAAGAGAAGACAGGUCAGAUACAUAAAAGGGAUAAUUUAGAAACCUCCCUUGAGGUUUUCAAUAAUUUCAUUGACCUCUCUUGAGGUUUGUAAAAUUACACUAACCUCCCUCAAGGUUUAGAUUUCGGUAACAAAAUUAGUCCAAAUCAGAAAAAUUACCAUUAAAAAUGUAUUUUGCGAAGAGAGAUAAACUUUUAUUCCAUAAAUGCCCUUAUGCUUGUGUACAAGUUGUAUUGUAAAGGAGUAAAAAAUAUAUUAAUAAAAGCGUGGGAAGGUAAGCGCAAAUAGUAAAGAACAAAAAAUAAGUAGCAACUGACUUUCUCUACAAAGUUGGACCAACGGGUAGUGCAUUAGAUUAUAAUGGAUAUUUUUCAGAUCUUCACCAUUUUGCAUAUAAAGGAACCAAGAAGGAUUAAGAUGGAUCUCACUUUUACUUGAAGCAGUAAAAGUUGAUGUGUAAAAAUAGUUUUGGAUGUGAUGUAUUAUGACUUUGAGCUGCUUUACGUCAAUUUAACUUUUUUCUUUAGUUGUUUACUUUUUCUUUUUUUCGGAAACAUUAACGAUGUAUUGAUCAUAAGAAACUUUACAACAAAAGUUGGGCAAAGGGCUCCAGCAAAGCUUUACAACAGUGCAUACGCUCGCACUUAUAAGGAGUAAUGUUUGAAGCGUGAACGCUAAGCCUAUGACAUAAAUCCAUCAUAUUUGUGGUAUUUUUUUUUGUAAUCUAAAAGGGCACAUUCGAAACAGUUUAGCUAAGUCCUUAAUGUCUUCCACACCAAUUUGGUGUGAUCAAUUGAAAUGUCCUUGCUGGACAGAUGAAAGCGAGUUCUUGUCCCUGAUGCCGACCAUCGCCCGUUCAGCCACCAACUCCUAUUCCCAUUUUCGUCAGUUGUUUACAAAUUAGCAGUGAAUUAUUUCCACUCCUACUUUAUCUAUCUUCUAGGAACAUAAAGAGUAGUAAAGCAGCAGUGCAGUGGGGCGGGGUAGGUGCUGCCGGCUCUCAAAUCUCAAAUUUUGCUUAGGAUUCCCCAACAGUAGUAAUUCAUCACUUCUAUGUUUACACUUUACACUUGCAUCCGGAAUGAAUGUUGUCACAAAAUCCAUCCAACAAAGUCAUCAUGUAUAUGUUAAACCCCCGAUAUAAUAACCAAACUGGUAAUAAAUAGUUAGUGGCUUUACCGUUGUUAGGAUGGAAUUCGUGUGUUGAUAUUUUUUUUUUUUAAAAAAUAAAAUUAAAUAAAAAAAGUAUAUAAACACAAGAUAAGAUAAUAAUAAUUAUCAAUAUGUACGCUUACAUGUGGUUUAUUAGAUGUGAUUUAAGUGUCGUAAUGAUUGCCCAACGAGUAUUACUCAGUAGAAAAAAAAAAUUCAUAGUUAAUUGCAAAGGGCAUAGGAUAAUGAACUUCUUGAUAAUAAUAAGAUAACGACAUUUUUGGCCUGGUCUUUUAAUUUAUGGGAUUGAUUGAUGGCUCUGUACGGUGGUAUUACCACACACGCUAACAAGUUUGGUACGUGUCUACAUGAAAACUGUCGGUGUUAAUAAAGAGUCUUUCCUCCGCCAUCCUCAUUUGCUUUUGGCUUUCUUUCGUACGAUUUCUUUUUCUUUUUCUUUCUCUCUCUCUCUCCCUUUUGGCUAACGGUAAAUGUAAUUUUAUGAGCAUAUCAGGAGACACACAAAGCAAAAACCUUUGGAGCUAGCUUACUCAUACAUAAAAAUUGUGUAUUUAAAAUAAGAAUUAAUAUUUUAUAUAUUGAAAAUAAAAAUGUAGUGAUUUUUUUACAUACUAAUAAUUUUGAAUAUAAAAUUUAAAUUCAUACUAUGUGGUAUAAUAUAAAUCUGUUAGUUUUUUUUUUUUUUUUUUUUUGUCAACACAGGGGUGUCCGGGUCAAGACCCGAAGGCGGCCCGACUAAUCCCCUGCGCCUGGAGUACAGCGCCACCCCAACCGCACCCAGGCGUUAGGUGAGGUUCGAUCCCACGACCUUGCGAGUGAUUUUCCAGCCGCAGACCGGGUGAUCUAACCCGGGAGUAGAAAAAGUUAUCCUUAAACCAACAAUAAUAAUCAUAAUUUUUGUGAGCAUUAGUUAAAUCUCAGCAUGAUUACCCUUGAAAUGUGUUGUUAACGGUCUACUUAACAAAUAUAUGCAGUCACUUGCACGAGAGAGAGAGAGAGAGAGAGAGGAAGGGGACAAUUAACAUUGGAGGAGUCACUAAUCAGUCGAAGUAUAGAUUGAUGCCACGCCCAAAAAAGCAAAAAAUAAAAAAUUGUGUAGUGUAAAAUGGUUGGCCCAUGUGGGGGAGAUGCAUCAUAUGCUUGGAUAAGCUCAUAAUUUCCAUCAUCAGUACUCACUACUAAUAACUUCAUUACUGUCAUUAAUAGUCAUCAUGGUUUCGUGGGAAUUGGUAAUAUAAAUAAUAAAAUAUAUUUUGGAAGGUGAGGUGGGCAUAUCAAAAUUCAAAGGCAGCAACGAACGGAGUAUGGAGGAUGGAUGUUGAUGGAGCGUCACAACUCAGCAAUUCCAGGCCACCACAUAUGCCUAGCCUACCUUACCUUACCUCAUACGCCCGUAUUAGAAAGCAGCAAAAUUCAACGCCCCUUUCAUUUCGUUUCCACCCUCCCUCCUUCCUUCCAUACUAUUACUAGGGAGUAGUAGUUAGCACUGCAAGCUGCCCGGUUGCCAUCUUUCUACAUAAAGUCCUCCCACUUUUUUCUACCUAAUUGCCUCCUACCGUCUAAUUCUUCCACCAUUUAUUAGCAUCAGUUUAGUAGUAUACUGCUUGCUUGCUUGCCUGCCUACAUCCCUUCCCCACUCCCCGACUCUUCCGCUCCCGCACCCAACUCCCCAACCAUUUAUUGUCAUUUGGGCUGUGGAUUCUUGAUCAGAUCCACCCAUCGCCACUGAUCACUGACUCCUUCCUUCAUCAACCAUGGCUGAGAAGGUAAGCCAAUUCUCCUGCUAGCUUUCCCAACCAUCCCUCAAAUGUUCGUGAUAUAUUAUUGUUUUGCAUCUUUUUUUUAGUAGUGUUUGCUUGCUCAAUCUGAAAAUUAUAAUUGCAAGUCUAUGACAGCACAUACAACGCGAGAUAUGCUUGCUUCUCUUUAUAUCAAGAUCUCUACCCACAUCUCCCAGCGUAAACCAUAUAAUUGUGCAUUUCUUGAUUGUUAUAUAUAUAUAUAUACACACACACAUGUAUGGAUCGAGUUUGACUAUUUUGCUCCGAUAAUAUAUAUGCAACCAUACAGGUGACUACGAUGAGACUCAAGGUUGAUCUUCAAUGCCCCUGCUGCUACAAGAAGGUCAAGAAAAUCCUCUGCAAAUUUCCUCGUGAGUCUCUUUAUGUUUUCAAUACCAGUAGAGUAGUAGUAGUUCUUCUUUAGAGCAAGUACAGUUAGUUGAAGGACAUCCACCGUUCCACCGACUAUGUACAUGGAUAGGCAUGUGCGCCACCAUGAGCUACAGUUUUUUUUAAAAAUAAUUUUUUCCCCUUCUCCAUGAUUAUUUAUUAGCCGAGUUCAACAACAAAAGUUGGGUAGUGUGGCUUAUGAAACUACUUGUGAUCAGUUAGUGGCUUUAAUUUGUAUGGACAAGAAUUUGAGUUUUUCUUUUUUUUUUUUCUUUUGUUGGGGGUGAUGCUCAAUGUUUUUGGACAAGAGAAAUCAGAGACCAGAUAUAUGAUGAGAAGCAAAAUCUGGUGACCAUCACCGUCGUGUGCUGUAGCCCCGAGAAAAUCCGCGACAAAUUAUGUUGCAAGGGUGGCAAAGUCAUUAAGAGCAUUGAGAUCGUGGAGCCACCAAAGCCCAAGCCACCGCCGGAGAAGCCUAAAGAGCCCGAAAAGCCUAAGCCACCCCCAGAAAAGCCCAAAGAGCCGGAAAAGCCCAAGCCACCCCCAGAAAAGCCCAAAGAGCCGGAAAAGCCCAAGCCACCUCCAGAAAAGCCGAAGGAGCCCGAAAAGCCCAAGCCACCCCCGGAAAAGCCCAAAGAGCCGGAAAAGCCCAAGCCACCUCCAGAAAAGCCGAAGGAGCCCGAAAAGCCCAAGCCACCUCCAGAAAAGCCCAAACCACUACCACCACCACCUGAACCGUGCUCGCACCCACCAGUUCCAGUGGGCUUUUGUUGUGUCCCAUGUUCGGAAGGGUACGGCGGGGGACCAUGCUACUACGGGUACGGGUACGGGUACGGGCGGCCUGUGCCCCCGCCACCUUGUUAUGAUAGCUAUGCUUACGGGUACGGAUAUGGGAAGGGGUACCCGUACAGUCGCUGCGAUUAUUUCAGUGAGGAGAACAGUACGGGUUGCACGAU